UACGUAGGGGGCCAGCGUUGUCCGGAUUUACUGGGCGUAAAGAGCGCGUAGGCGGAAGCUUAAGCGGUGCCUGAAAGCCCCCGGCUCAACCGGGGAGGGCGGUGCCGAACUGGGCUUCUUGAGGGCGAUAGAGGAGAGUGGAAUUCCGGGUGUAGCGGUGAAAUGCGUAGAUAUCCGGAGGAACACCGGUGGCGAAGGCGGGUCUCUGGGCCGUAACUGACGCUGAGGAGCGAAAGCAUGGGGAGCGAACAGG
RNAcentral lists this ribosomal RNA (253 nucleotides) under uncultured bacterium. RNAcentral's name for it is "partial 16S ribosomal RNA". It matches the Rfam family "Bacterial small subunit ribosomal RNA", at positions 524 to 776 of the family's 1533-position model. The record is from RNAcentral.